RNAcentral lists this unclassified non-coding RNA (610 nucleotides) under Hevea brasiliensis (rubber tree). The record is from RNAcentral. Lineage: Eukaryota; Viridiplantae; Streptophyta; Magnoliopsida; Malpighiales; Euphorbiaceae.
UGCAGAUCACUCAGAGGAGUACCCGAGCUGUUCCUAAGGUUCCAACUUCUCAAUCUCCCACCAUGAAUUCUGAGAAUGCGUCACCUAUGACACCUGCUAAAGGUCCUGCAGAUGCAUCUAAGGCAUUCCCAUUUCAGUUCGGGUCUAUAAGUCCUGGUUUCAUGAAUGGGAUGCAGAUUCCUGCUCGAACAAGCUCAGCUCCUCCAAAUUUGGAUGAGCAGAAACGUGACCAGGCACGCCACGAUACAUUUAGAUCUGUGCCUCCAUUGCCAACUCCUGCUCCUAAGCAACAAUUACCAAGGAAGGAUUUAGAUGUUGUCGACAAUUCUAGUGCUGGGGAGCCUCAUCCAAUGGCCAAAGCCAAGAAGGAUGUCCAAGUCUCAACUACACUGCCCAUGAGCCAGACACAAAAGCCGUCUGUUCUUCCCCGACCUAUGUCUUCCAUGCAAAUGCCAUUUCACCAACCACCAGUGUCUGCACAGUUUGGUGGCCCAAAUCCACAGAUUCAGUCACAAGGUGUUACGCCAACUUCACUUCAAAUGCAUAUGCCAAUGGCGGCAUUACCAAUGGGAAAUGCCCCCCAAGUGCAACAGCCAAUGUUUGUUCAAGG